This 538-nucleotide ribosomal RNA is filed under the name uncultured eukaryote. RNAcentral's name for it is "SSU rRNA". It matches the Rfam family "Eukaryotic small subunit ribosomal RNA", at positions 1 to 566 of the family's 1831-position model. The record is from RNAcentral.
UCUGGUUGAUCCUGCCAGUAGUCAUACGCUCGUCUCAAAGAUUAAGCCAUGCAUGUGUAAGUAUAAAUAGUUAACUUUGAAACUGCGAAUGGCUCAUUAUAUCAGUUAUAGUUUAUUUGAUGAAGAAUACUAAUUGGAUAACCGUAGUAAUUCUAGAGCUAAUACAUGUAUAAAGUCUUGUAGACUGCAUUUAUUAGAAUGAAAACCAUAGGUUUCGGCCUAUUCGUGAGUAAUAAUAACUAAUCAUAUCGUAUGCUUAUGUAACGAUGUGUCUUUCAAGUUUCUGCCCUAUCAGCUUUCGAUGGUAGUGUAUUGGACUACCAUGGCAGUAACGGGUAACGAAGAAUUUGGGUUCGAUUUCGGAGAGGGAGCCUGAGAGAUGGCUACCACGUCCAAGGAAGGCAGCAGGCGCGUAAAUUACCCAAUCCUGACACAGGGAGGUAGGGACAAUAAAUCACAAUGCGGAACAAUGUUUUGCAAUUGGAUUGAGAACAACGUACAAACCUUAUCGAUAAACAAUUGGAGGGCAAGUCUGGUA